UACCCUGACUAGGGACGGAAGCUGCCACCUUUCAGUGUAUGGGAUGAUGCUCCAACCAAUGGAGCCACACCGGCCAGAGCAUAGAUAUAUUUUUCAUCUGAAUAUUACAGUCAUGUGGCAAAAGGAUUUUUCCCUGUUUAUGGUCAAAUUAACUUGCCUCUAAUCCCCAAUAAUUUCUUAUGGAAUGAAUAACUUAUUCUUUGCAAUGUAAUUUAUUAUAUGUAAUAAAUCUGAACAGUUAUUUUCCUAAGGAAACACACCUUAUCAUUCUCUGCAUUGUGUUCACACAAAGAGGUAUUCUUUUGACAAAGAACUUAAACCUAGGGCACAGGAGAAGGGAGCACCCUCUAAUUUCUCUGUAUAAGAAAGCCAGUGAUGCAGACAUAAUGUUCACUUCCCUUAAGGGAACAAUGGCUCUUGACAAGAAGAAAUGUGGUUUUGGCAAAGAACUUGCUGCUCCGAAUUUGUUUAAAAACACUUGAUAUUCUGUUUUAGUUCCUACAUCAAAUAUAUGGGGAGAUAUUUAUAAGGAAAUCGGUAAACUGAUGAGUGAGUAUCUUUGAGCCUUGAGUCAGUAAUAAAAUGAAUUUGGUGCUUUCAAACAUAUACAUUUCACUAGGUUAGAGAGAAAGCCAAGUUUCUGAAAGACCUCUCUUUAAUGGUCAAAAUUGUACAGACUAAAGGAAAAUAAACACUGUACUGUGGUAAUUGCCUAUUGUUAUGGUCUACAUGUUUGUUUCUCCCUCCCAUUUCAACAUUAAGGCAAAUGUUGAAGGCUUAAUCCUCACUGUGAUGGUAUUUAGGGAUGAGACUUUAGGAUGGUAUUAAGGUUAUUAGGUUAGAUGAGGUCAUGAGAGGGGGCCCUCCUGGUGGGAUUAACCCCCUGGUAAGAAGAAAAACCAGAGAGCCCCCUUGUUCUCUCUGCCAUGUGUGGACACAGCAAGAAGGAGGCCGCCUGCGAGCCAGGAAGAGAGCUCUCAUCAGGAUCCAGCCAUGCUGUACCCUGAUGUUGAACUUCUAGCCUACGGAACCGUGAGCAACACAUUUAAAUUUCUCUUGUUUAAGCCACUCACUCUGUUGCAUUUUGUUAUGACAGCCCAAGCCAACUAAAACACCAAUAAACUCUCAGACCACGUUUCUCUUUCAUUGAUAGAUGUUUUCACAUGGACCAGUAUUUGUGUUGAAACCAUCCAGUGACCUGGCUGCCCUGGCUCUUGGCUCUGAAGUCACAUCUUGGACAUGAGAACCGAUUUAGCUCCACCACUUUGGAUUCCAGUCCGUGCACCUUAAACAUGGCCUAGGGCUUGCUCUCUGGCUCUCUCAUCCAAAGGCAGCUCCUGCUCCCACUCUUCAGGGUUACUCCCAGGUGAAGGGUCAUAUAUCAGUCUUGUGUCAGGAACCAUCAAAGGCACAAUAAAAUGUAAGGAACAUGGCAGGGUAGGACAAACACUGAACCUACAUUUUGAGAUAGAGAAAGAAGAGUGAGCCAUAGAAGAGAGGAGAAUACUUGUCACACUAUUUCAGAGGGUUAUUGCCAGGAUCCAAUGUGUCAUUACACAGGAAUGAGAAAAAGCCAUACAGUUUUAAUUCAACGCCUUAUCAUCAUUGCUACUCCAAGGAGUUUAUAAUAUACUAGCUAAGGCAACAUAACAUGAACCACAUGAUAACAAUAUAUAUUUGACUAAAGUGUUACUCACUUGGAAUGAAUAACCUAUUCUAAGCAAUCUAUGUAAUUUAUUAUAUGUCAUAGUCCUCUGGACUGCUGAGACCUGCCCUUAUCCCCCAUCCUUUAAUAUUUAAAUAAAUUAUCUUGAACUCCUCAUCUUCUGUAGAAUGAGAUUAAUCACCAUCACUCCCAAUAUUUCUGGAAAUUCCUGGGGCCUCGCUCCCUGUGGUCUCUGGUUCUGUGUGCAUUCUUUGGCUAAAUUCUCUAACUUCAUUGACUGGGCCAUCCAUAUUCAUUUAUCACCCCCCUGCCCCUGUCCCCUGGCAGCCCCCGCACACAGCCUGGCUUCCUGAAUUCUCCAAGAAUUACUGACAUCAAGCUGCAUGUGCAGCAGAUUUUAAUAAUGACGUGAGGGAAGGAGGAUGAAGUUGUGGCUCAGCACAGAACAUGUUAAAUAUCCUUUUCCUUAAUUGUCCCUUGGCCAUGGCCACCUCUGAGAAGACCUCACUGGCCUGCCGUUUACAUGGAGCCCCUGUGACCAACAUAUUAUUCCAUUUUCCCCCUCUCUCUUCUCCUGGCCUUUUCUACUCGCUCCUUCUAAGUUGCUCCAAUAAUCCCUGCUCUAUUACUUAUGUAAAACAAGAUGGCCACCACCUAUUGAAUGCUUACUCUGUACCAGGCACGAUGCUAAGUGCUGUCACUUCUCAAGUAACAGGUACCCUCACUUUCCAAUGCUCCAGAUAUCUGGGCACAUACCUAGGUGUUUCAACAAACUUUUUCAACAAAUAAUUUUUACACUAUUUCUGAGUGCUAGGGGCUUGGGGUCUUUGCUCUAAUGGGCUUUCAUACCCAAAAAGCCACUCAAGAAAGUUGCUAAAACUAAAACAAAGC
Molecule: long non-coding RNA, 2557 nt
Organism: Pipistrellus kuhlii (Kuhl's pipistrelle)
Lineage: Eukaryota; Metazoa; Chordata; Mammalia; Chiroptera; Vespertilionidae
Exons: 2
Source: RefSeq, a predicted model, not a curated record